Molecule: ribosomal RNA, 414 nt
Filed under: Propionibacterium acidifaciens
Lineage: Bacteria; Bacillati; Actinomycetota; Actinomycetes; Propionibacteriales; Propionibacteriaceae
Description: bacterial SSU rRNA
Rfam family: Bacterial small subunit ribosomal RNA
Source: RNAcentral
GACGAACGCUGGCGGCGUGCUUAACACAUGCAAGUCGAACGGUAAGGCGCUUUCGGGCGUACACGAGUGGCGAACGGGUGAGUAACACGUGAGGAACGUGCCCUUGACUUUGGUAUAGCACUUGGAAACAGGUGGUAAUCCCGAAUAUUCAGUUUCCCGGGCAUCCGGGUUGUUGGAAAGCUUUUUGCGGUCAGGGAUCGUCUCGCGGCCUAUCAGCUUGUUGGUGGGGUAGUGGCCCACCAAGGCCUUGACGGGUAGCCGGCCUGAGAGGGCGACCGGCCACAUUGGGACUGAGAUACGGCCCAGACUCCUACGGGAGGCAGCAGUGGGGAAUAUUGCACAAUGGGCGGAAGCCUGAUGCAGCAAACGCCCGCGUGCGGGGAUGACGGGCCCUUUCCGGGGUGUAAAACCCGC